Molecule: ribosomal RNA, 120 nt
Filed under: Streptomyces galilaeus
Lineage: Bacteria; Bacillati; Actinomycetota; Actinomycetes; Kitasatosporales; Streptomycetaceae
Description: partial 16S rRNA
Rfam family: Bacterial small subunit ribosomal RNA
Source: RNAcentral
UCUAAUACCGGAUAACACUUCUGCUCUCAUGGGCAGGGGUUAAAAGCUCCGGCGGUGAAGGAUGAGCCCGCGGCCUAUCAGCUUGUUGGUGAGGUAAUGGCUCACCAAGGCGACGACGGG